RNAcentral lists this small RNA (1929 nucleotides) under Penicillium brevicompactum. RNAcentral describes it as "eukaryotic LSU rRNA". The stretch from base 934 to 1087 matches the Rfam family "5.8S ribosomal RNA". Lineage: Eukaryota; Fungi; Ascomycota; Eurotiomycetes; Eurotiales; Aspergillaceae. The record is from RNAcentral.
GGAAGGUUCGGGAUGGGAAAUGGCCCCCCUGGGGGUUCCCACCUCCGUUCGGUUUCAUUGGGCCAAGGGUUGGCACCGGAACCUUCGGGUAGAGUUUAACUUCUUGGUCGGGUUUCAAAGCGGGUCGGUUACGACCAUUAAGCCAAGGUUCCGAGCGGAAGGCGGUUCCUUGGUCCGGGCAGGCCGCAUUGCAACCUGGGUUAAAAGACGCCCCCGGAGGGGCGUUACCUUCCAGAGGCCUUUGACCGACCGGCCAAAACGGACGCUGCCCCGCUCGGGGGGAAGUACCCCGGCACGAAUGCCGGCUGAACCCCGCGAGGGAGUCUGGUCGCAAGCGCUUCCCUUUCAACAAUUUCACGUGCUUUUUAACUCUCUUUUCAAAAGUGCUUUUCAUCUUUCGAUCACUAUAAUUGUGCGAUAUCGGUCUCCGGCCAAUAUUUAGCUUUAGACGAAAUUUCCCACCCAUUAAGAGCUGCAUUCCCAAUCAACUUGACUCGUCGAAGGAGCUUCACAGGGACGGGUACACCCCAUACCAUACGGGAUUCUCACCUUAUAUGACGUCCCGUUCCAGGGCACUAAGAUGGGUACGGCUCCGGAAGCAUCUUCUGCAAAUUACAAUGCGGACCCGGAAGGAGCCAGCUUUCAAAUUUGAGCUCUCGCCGCUUCACUCGCCGUUACUGGGGCAAUCCCUGUUGGUUUCUUUUUGGAAGUAAAAAUCGUAACAAGGUUUCCGUAGGUGAACCUGCGGAAGGAUCAUUACCGAGUGAGGGCCCUCUGGGUCCAACCUCCCACCCGUGUUUAUUUUACCUUGUUGCUUCGGCGAGCCUGCCUUUUGGCUGCCGGGGGACGUCUGUCCCCGGGUCCGCGCUCGCCGAAGACACCUUAGAACUCUGUCUGAAGAUUGUAGUCUGAGAUUAAAUAUAAAUUAUUUAAAACUUUCAACAACGGAUCUCUUGGUUCCGGCAUCGAUGAAGAACGCAGCGAAAUGCGAUACGUAAUGUGAAUUGCAGAAUUCAGUGAAUCAUCGAGUCUUUGAACGCACAUUGCGCCCUCUGGUAUUCCGGAGGGCAUGCCUGUCCGAGCGUCAUUGCUGCCCUCAAGCACGGCUUGUGUGUUGGGCUCCGUCCUCCUUCCGGGGGACGGGCCCGAAAGGCAGCGGCGGCACCGCGUCCGGUCCUCAAGCGUAUGGGGCUUUGUCACCCGCUUUGUAGGACUGGCCGGCGCCUGCCGAUCAACCAAACUUUUUUCCAGGUUGACCUCGGAUCAGGUAGGGAUACCCGCUGAACUUAAGCAUAUCAAUAAGCGGAGGAAAAGAAACCAACAGGGAUUGCUCCAGUAAGGCGAGUGAAGCGGCAAGAGCUCAAUUUGAAGCUGGCUCCUUCGGGUCCGCAUUGUAUUUGCAGAGGAUGCUUCGGAGCGUACCCUCUAGUGCCUGGAACGGACGUAUAGGGGUGAGAUCCCUAUGGGAUGGGGGUCGCGCCGUGUGAACUCCUCAAGAGUCAGUUGAUUGGGAUGCGCUCUAAUGGGUGGUAAAUUUAUCUAAGCUAAUAUUGCCGGGACGAUAGGCACAAUAGAGUGAUCGAAGAUGAAAGCCUUUGAAAGAGAGUUAAAAGCCGUGAAAUGUUGAAAGGAAAACUGCGACAAAUCCUCGCGGGUCAGCUGCAUCGGGCGGGGACUCCCAGAGGGGCAGGUCGGUUGGCGGCGGCAAAGCUCUGAAGUAAACCCUCGGGCGCUAAACCGGGUGAUGGGCUUCCGACCAGAACGCUUCGUCAACUAGGAAAGUCGAGCACCCCUUGAACCGACAGGGUUAAUUACCGAGUUCGUGCAACCUGCGGAUGACGAACGGGGGACCUAGGGCCAUCCACCUAACUCCAGAUAAUAAGUAUUUGGACGAAUGGAAUUCCUAGGGAACAGAACUUGGGGUAAGCU